AUACACUGUAAUCCCUAACAGUUGUUCUAGCUCAUAACUAAUAAGCUCAUAACACUCAAAUGUCGUUUUGUAGUUGAGCAAACUAUAAAGUAUUGAGCUCUGUUGGCUUUUAUGCAGCUUUAAUUGAAUAGGGCUCAAUAUUUUUUAGCUAAAUUUUUUGGAACGCUCAAAAAGUUUAAGAAGCAUAUAUUAGUGACGUUCUGGUGGGUGGAGUCUUGUCGCUCCCUCAGGAAAGCUUAGUCAGCCAUCUUGAAUUUACCUUGAUACGGGGAAGUUUUGGCCAGCCCGUGUGGAUUAAGAGUCCCCAACUUCAACCCACCACGACCACCACCUUAUUUUUUUUCAUCAACUGCCCUAAAUUUGGUAAGUCUAACGUGUUUUUGUUUUGUUUAAAUUUAAUUUCGAUAAACAUUCUUUUUUAUUUUUUACUGGAAAUAUAUUCGUACUUUGUGCACAGUGAAUGUUUGUUAUAAAUGAAUUCGAAUCCAAGUAAUUGUAAUUUUAGAAGUUUUCUAAUGUGACAAAUACGUAAUGUUAUUUCAAAUUAGAAUGAUGUAACGUUUUGGCGGUUUUCCGUGGGGGACAACAUUUCCCAUAAUGCAUUGUAUUCUUGCCCGGGAAGUUGACGGUGGCAGUUCUAGCUCCAUGCAUUUGAACUUUCUACUAAAACUUUCCACUGGUUGUCGUAUUCGCCGGUAAUGUACGUGCGUAUUAUAUCAGACUGCAAAGAGCGCUACAGAGAGUCAACAUUUCACCAGUUGUCAGUGGGAACAGCAUGAUGUAAAUACAAGACGGGCCCUCGUCCUUCGUGCACUUCCUGUGUACCUGCGUGAAGAUGCCUCCACGUUAUUCAGGACUUGUGAUUCAGCAGAUGGUCCAGACCUCACUGACACUCCUGUGGCUCUGCUGACAGUUGUCACGGAUGACACUACUGAUUCGGCCCUCUUCAGUCCCGAAAGCAUCUGCAUUGUCGUUGAGGAUGAAAUACUUGUGAAUGGUCCCACAAAUCUGGCUGAGUCAUUUCUCCUGCUCUUUGGGUACAUCUAUGCAUUAGACCUACAAUACCCAAAGAAACUUG
This is a long non-coding RNA of Astatotilapia calliptera (eastern happy), 1078 nucleotides long. NCBI's taxonomy places the organism in Eukaryota, Metazoa, Chordata, Actinopteri, Cichliformes, Cichlidae. The record is from Ensembl.